CCCAGACUCCUACGGGAGGCAGCAGUGGGGAAUAUUGCACAAUGGGGGAAACCCUGAUGCAGCGACGCCGCGUGAGUGAGGAAGUAUUUCGGUAUGUAAAGCUCUCUCAGCAGGGAAGAAAAUGACGGUACCUGACUAAGAAGCCCCGGCUAACUACGUGCCAGCAGCCGCGGUAAUACGUAGGGGGCAAGCGUUAUCCGGAUUUACUGGGUGUAAGGGGGGCGCAGACGGCGAUGCAAGCCAGGAGUGAAAGCCCGGGGCCCAACCCCGGGACUGCUCUUGGAACUGCGUGGCUGGAGUGCAGGAGGGGCAGGCGGAAUUCCUGGUGUAGCGGUGAAAUGCGUAGAUAUCAGGAGGAACACCGGUGGCGAAGGCGGCCUGCUGGACUGCAACUGACGUUGAGGCCCGAAAGCGUGGGGAGCAAACAGGAUUAGAUACCCGGGUAGA
This 447-nucleotide ribosomal RNA is filed under the name uncultured bacterium. Its description in RNAcentral is "bacterial SSU rRNA". It matches the Rfam family "Bacterial small subunit ribosomal RNA", at positions 330 to 794 of the family's 1533-position model. The record is from RNAcentral.